UAGCCGCAAAGCCGCGAGGCGGAGCAAAUCACAAAACCCGGUCUCAGUUCAGAUUGCAGGCUGCAACUCGCCUGCAUGAAGGCGGAGUUGCUAGUAAUCGCGAAUCAGAAUGUCGCGGUGAAUACGUUCCCGGGCCUUGUACACACCGCCCGUUACACCAUGGGAGUCGGAAAUGCCCGAAGUCAGUGACCUAACCGAAAGGGAGGAGCUGCCGAAGGUGGAGCCGGUAACUGGGGUGAAGUCGUAACAAGGUAGC
This 256-nucleotide ribosomal RNA is filed under the name uncultured bacterium. RNAcentral's name for it is "partial 16S ribosomal RNA". It matches the Rfam family "Bacterial small subunit ribosomal RNA", at positions 1244 to 1500 of the family's 1533-position model. The record is from RNAcentral.